CCUGACCUCGGAUCAGACGUGAAUACCCGCU
This 31-nucleotide ribosomal RNA is filed under the name Centrocestus sp. MK-2012. RNAcentral's name for it is "partial 28S ribosomal RNA". The record is from RNAcentral. Lineage: Eukaryota; Metazoa; Platyhelminthes; Trematoda; Opisthorchiida; Heterophyidae.